Long non-coding RNA from Pelmatolapia mariae (spotted tilapia), 1170 nucleotides. RefSeq lists it as uncharacterized. The transcript is spliced from 7 exons. The record is from RefSeq and is a predicted model, not a curated record. NCBI's taxonomy places the organism in Eukaryota, Metazoa, Chordata, Actinopteri, Cichliformes, Cichlidae.
UAUGUAUCCUCGUGCGCGCGCUUAACUUGGGGUUAAAGCAACUCCGCGUUGAUUGAACUAAUUGUUAUCAGCCUUUCUGAAACCGAAUAUUCCGAGUUGGACAGUUCGGGGUUACUCAACCCUGAGUAUCAUUUUUAACUCUGAGUUUUCUAAACCGACUUUCUGAAACAGGGCCCAGUUCUCCACAGUCGUUGUCCAUAUGGGUCAGUGGGACCAAGCAGCACUCUGCUAAUGUGUGGACUCUGACCAGCAAUAUCCAGCAAGACCCAGGCAACGUUUUCUAUCUCCCAGCUGGUGUUUUUUGUUUGUCUGUGACUGGAGAGUCAGAUUUUUGUUGAAGCUGGAGGAACAGAGAAGUUAAUACACGCUACUGAUCCCUGAUGGGAGAAUCAUCACCUCUGCCAACAAAGAAGCCUGGUGGAUAUUUGUUUACAGUCUGAUGAUGGGACAUCAUGCUCUGCAUCUUCAAAUCUUUUUGCAGGAUCAGAAAACAAAACCAGGAUGACCGUAAAUGUUUCUUCUCCAGUUGGAUGAUGAUAAGACCGUGACACGAGCAGAGCGGCAGUUUGUGCCCACAGAUGGUGACGGUGUGGAGAGACGGUGGUGUUUCCUCAGAACAACAAGCAGAGUCACCAAGGACACAAGUCCAUCUCACCACCUUGACUUGCUGACUGAUGCUCGUCUGCACUGCACAGAGGAAAUCAACUGACCGAGGAGUGUUUCUGGGUGAGGGAGAGAGGAGUCAUCAUCCAGGUAAAGUGACGUGGAUCAGUGGACACACUUGUCUCCCCUUUAAAGGAGAUAGAGAGACGAUCCGAGUCAUCCCUAAAUAUGGGCAGGAUAUCAGUCUUGGACUGUCUAACCUGCCGGAGCAGCACUAAAUGACCACCACACAUGAGCAUGUUCCUGCAGCAUUCAGCAGCUUUGCUUUUGGGUCAAAGGUCAACCAGCUGGAGAGGAAACUACACCACUGUACUGGGAUGUUUCACCAACACGUGCCAGAUGCUGUUACUUCAUGGUGACAUCACCAGAGACAGCCCCGCCCACCUCAGGACCUCGCCAUUGAUUAUGAUGAUUAUAAUCGGAACUAAGACUGUACAAAUCCACGACCAGAAUGUUUAGAUGCUUUCUAAUUAUUAAUGAAUACUGAGAGCCUCUUUCUGUGUUUUG